Molecule: unclassified non-coding RNA, 404 nt
Filed under: soil metagenome
Description: partial contains 5.8S ribosomal RNA, internal transcribed spacer 2, and large subunit ribosomal RNA
Rfam family: 5.8S ribosomal RNA (bases 1-122)
Source: RNAcentral
GAUGGAGAACGCAGCAAAAUGCGAUACUUGGUGUGAAUUGCAGAAUCCCGUGAACCAUCGAGUUUUUGAACGCAAGUUGCGCCCGAAGCCUUUUGGCCGAGGGCACGUCUGCCUGGGCGUCACACAUCGCGUCGCCCCCCACAACUCUCCGUAAAGGGAACUUGUGUUUUGGGGGCGGAUAUUGGUCUCCCGUGCUCAUGGCGUGGUUGGCCGAAAUAGGAGUCCCUCCGGUGGACGCACGAACUAGUGGUGGUCGUAAAAACCCUCGUCUUUUGUUUCGUGCCGUUAGUCGCGAGGGAAACUCUUUAAAAACCCAAAUGUGUCGUCUCUUGACGGCGCUUCGACCGCGACCCCAGGUCAGGCGGGACUACCCGCUGAGUUUAAGCAUAUCAAUAAGCGGAGGA